UACGGAGGGUGCAAGCGUUAUCCGGAUUUGCUGGGUUUAAAGGGUGCGUAGGCGGAUUUGUAAGUCCGAGGUGAAAUCUCCGAGCUUAACUCGGAAACUGCCUUGGAUACUAUAAGUCUUGAAUGACGUUGAGGUUAGCGGAAUAUGUCAUGUAGCGGUGAAAUGCUUAGAUAUGACAUAGAACAUCUAUUGCGAAGGCAGCUAACUAAGCGUAUAUUGACGCUGAUGCACGAAAGCGUGGGGAUCAUCCACG
Molecule: ribosomal RNA, 253 nt
Filed under: uncultured bacterium
Lineage: Bacteria
Description: partial 16S ribosomal RNA
Rfam family: Bacterial small subunit ribosomal RNA
Source: RNAcentral